UACGUAGGGAGCAAGCGUUGUUCGGAUUUACUGGGCGUAAAGGGCGCGUAGGCGGCGCGGUAAGUCACUUGUGAAAUCUCUGAGCUUAACUCAGAACGGCCAAGUGAUACUGCAGUGCUAGAGUGCAGAAGGGGCAAUCGGAAUUCUUGGUGUAGCGGCGAAAUGCGUAGAUAUCAAGAGGAACACCUGAGGUGAAGACGGGUUGCUGGGCUGACACUGACGCUGAGUGCGCGAAAGCCAGGGGAGCAAACGGG
RNAcentral lists this ribosomal RNA (254 nucleotides) under uncultured bacterium. Its description in RNAcentral is "partial 16S ribosomal RNA". It matches the Rfam family "Bacterial small subunit ribosomal RNA", at positions 524 to 776 of the family's 1533-position model. The record is from RNAcentral.